UACGGGGGGGGUAAGCGUUGUUCGGAAUUACUGGGCGUAAAGGGCUCGUAGGCGGCCGUUUAAGUCAGACGUGAAAGCCCUCAGCUUAACUGGGGAACGGCGUCUGAGACUGAAGGGCUUGAAUCCGGGAGAGGGAUGCGGAAUUCCAGGUGUAGCGGUGAAAUGCGUAGAUAUCUGGAGGAACACCGGUGGCGAAGGCGGCAUCCUGGACCGGUAUUGACGCUGAGGAGCGAAAGCCAGGGGAGCAAACGGG
Molecule: ribosomal RNA, 253 nt
Filed under: uncultured bacterium
Lineage: Bacteria
Description: partial 16S ribosomal RNA
Rfam family: Bacterial small subunit ribosomal RNA
Source: RNAcentral